GACCGGGAUAACCCUGGGAAACUGGGGCUAAUACUGGAUAGGCAAUUAUUCCUGCAAUGGUUUUUUGUUUAAAUGUUUUUUCGCCUAAGGAUGGGUCUGCGGCCGAUUAGGUAGUUGGUUAGGUAAUGGCUUACCAAGCCGUUGAUCGGUACGGGUUGUGAGAGCAAGAGCCCGGAGAUGGAACCUGAGACAAGGUUCCAGGCCCUACGGGGUGCAGCAGGCGCGAAACCUCCGCAAUGUGAGAAAUCGCGACGGGGGGAUCCCAAGUGCCAUUCUUAACGGGAUGGCUUUUCAUUAGUGUAAAGAGCUUUUGGAAUAAGAGCUGGGCAAGACCGGUGCCAGCCGCCGCGGUAACACCGGCAGCUCUAGUGGUAACAAUUUUUAUUGGGCCUAAAGCGUCCGUAGCCGGUUUAAUAAGUCUCUGGUGAAAUCCUGUAGCUUAACUGCGGGAAUUGCUGGAGAUACUAUUAGACUUGAGACCGGGAGAGGUUAGAGGUACUCCCAGGGUAGAGGUGAAAUUCUGUAAUCCUGGGAGGACCGCCUGUUGCGAAGGCGUCUAACUGGAACGGUUCUGACGGUGAGGGACGAAAGUUAGGGGCGCGAACCGGAUUAGAUACCCGGGUAGUCCUAACUGUAAACGAUGCGGACUUGGUGUUGGGGUGGCUUUGAGCUGCUCCAGUGCCGAAGGGAAGCUGUUAAGUCCGCCGCCUGGGAAGUACGGUCGCAAGACUGAAACUUAA
This 740-nucleotide ribosomal RNA is filed under the name uncultured archaeon. RNAcentral describes it as "bacterial SSU rRNA". It matches the Rfam family "Archaeal small subunit ribosomal RNA", at positions 119 to 859 of the family's 1478-position model. The record is from RNAcentral.